GAUGAACGCUAGCGGCAGGCCUAACACAUGCAAGUCGAGGGGCAUCGCGGUGCAGCAAUGCACUGGCGGCGACCGGCGUACGGGUGCGUAACGCGUAUGCAACCUGCCCCGCACCGGGGGAUAGCCCGCCGAAAGGCGGAUUAAUACCCCAGUGGUCCCGGGGGCCCGCAUGGGCAUCCGGGUAAAGCCUUGGCGGUGCGGGAUGGGCAUGCGUGCCAUUAGCUGUCUGGUGGGGUAACGGCCCACCAGGGCAACGAUGGCUAGGGGGUCUGAGAGGAUGGUCCCCCACACUGGUACUGAGACACGGACCAGACUCCUACGGGAGGCAGCAGUGAGGAAUAUUGGUCAAUGGGCGGAAGCCUGAACCAGCCAUGCCGCGUGCGGGAUGAAGGCCCUACGGGUUGUAAACCGCUUUUCCCCGGGAAGAAUAACCCCGAUGAGUCGGGGGAUGCCGGUACCGGGGGAAUAAGGAUCGGCUAACUCCGUG
Molecule: ribosomal RNA, 487 nt
Filed under: uncultured bacterium
Lineage: Bacteria
Description: bacterial SSU rRNA
Rfam family: Bacterial small subunit ribosomal RNA
Source: RNAcentral